RNAcentral lists this ribosomal RNA (250 nucleotides) under uncultured bacterium. RNAcentral's name for it is "partial 16S ribosomal RNA". It matches the Rfam family "Bacterial small subunit ribosomal RNA", at positions 526 to 776 of the family's 1533-position model. The record is from RNAcentral.
GAAGGGGGGCAAGUGUUCUUCGGAAUGACUAGGCAUAAAGGGCACGUAGGCGGUGAAUCGGGUUGAAAGUGAAAGUUGCCAAAAAGUGGCGGAAUGCUCUCAAAACCAAUUCACUUGAGUGAGACAGAGGAGAGUGGAAUUUCAUGUGUAGGGGUGAAAUCCGUAGAUCUACGAAGGAACAGCCAAAAGCGAAGGCAGCUCUCUGGGUCCCUACCGACACUGGGGUGCGAAAGCAUGGGGAGCGAACAGG